CACCUUACACCAUCAUCAAGUCCU
Molecule: non-coding RNA, 24 nt
Filed under: Arabidopsis thaliana (thale cress)
Lineage: Eukaryota; Viridiplantae; Streptophyta; Magnoliopsida; Brassicales; Brassicaceae
Source: RNAcentral